GUGCUCGCUUCGGCAGCACUUACACUAAAAUUGGAAUGAUACAGAGAUUAGCGUGGCCCCUGAGCAAGGAUGACAUGCAAAUUGGUGAAGCAUUCCAUAUCUUU
This 104-nucleotide small nuclear RNA is filed under the name Propithecus coquereli (Coquerel's sifaka). Lineage: Eukaryota; Metazoa; Chordata; Mammalia; Primates; Indriidae. The record is from RNAcentral.